UUCAUAUGGAUCAGUUGGUAGAGCGUUGCACUAACAAUGCAAAGGUUGUGGGUUCAAAUCAAGCAAGAAC
Danionella cerebrum is the source of this 70-nucleotide non-coding RNA. NCBI's taxonomy places the organism in Eukaryota, Metazoa, Chordata, Actinopteri, Cypriniformes, Danionidae. The record is from the annotation of a GenBank genome assembly.